Molecule: ribosomal RNA, 369 nt
Filed under: uncultured bacterium
Lineage: Bacteria
Description: bacterial SSU rRNA
Rfam family: Bacterial small subunit ribosomal RNA
Source: RNAcentral
GAAGGGGGCUAGCGUUGCUCGGAAUCACUGGGCGUAAAGGGCGCGUAGGCGGCUGAUUUAGUCGAGGGUGAAAGCCCGUGGCUCAACCACGGAAUGGCCUUCGAUACUGGUUGGCUUGAGACCGGAAGAGGACAGCGGAACUGCGAGUGUAGAGGUGAAAUUCGUAGAUAUUCGCAAGAACACCAGUGGCGAAGGCGGCUGUCUGGUCCGGUUCUAACGCUGAGGCGCGAAAGCGUGGGGAGCAAACAGGAUUAGAUACCCUGGUAGUCCACGCUGUAAACGAUGAAUGCUAGCCGUUGGGGUGCAUGCACCUCAGUGGCGCCGCUAACGCAUUAAGCAUUCCGCCUGGGGAGUACGGUCGCAAGAUUA